RNAcentral lists this long non-coding RNA (326 nucleotides) under Gossypium barbadense (sea-island cotton). Its description in RNAcentral is "long non-coding RNA (GBAR_LNC022058)". The record is from RNAcentral. Lineage: Eukaryota; Viridiplantae; Streptophyta; Magnoliopsida; Malvales; Malvaceae.
GCAGAGUUAGACUUGUUCGAUAAGGAAAAGACUAGAAGAUCACGUUACUCUCUUGUGAUUAGAUUCAUUUUUGUAUAUAUAUGAUAACAUGCAAGAAAAUAAUUAGCAGACAAUUUGGAAAAGAUAAAACAAUCACCAAACAUUAUGUGUUACUGCGCCAAUGAUGAGGUAUUGUUCACUUUGGAGAUAAUAAUCAAUAUCUGAAAGUGUUGUUUUUUCGAAAAGAUACUUUAUAAGGAAAAAUAAAUCAAUUAUUAGUAAAUUCAAUGUGAUCUUUUGUAAGGAGUGCUCUUAGAACAACUUUAGUAUCAUCAGGUGAGUUUUUU